AAGCAGGUAGUUGUAAAAGAAAAUAUUUGGUUUCGGCCCAGAAGAUAUCAAUAAAAUGUUUCUGCUUU
This 68-nucleotide transfer RNA is filed under the name Branchiostoma floridae (Florida lancelet). RNAcentral's name for it is "tRNA-Arg". Lineage: Eukaryota; Metazoa; Chordata; Leptocardii; Amphioxiformes; Branchiostomatidae. The record is from RNAcentral.